GCCUCUGGCUACAAACUUUACUUUCAAUUCUGUGGCUUUCAAAAAAGUUGCUUCUCUGGAAACAUUUCAUAAUGUUGUAAUUGAAUGUGUACAUUCUUAAUUAAGGCCGAUCCUUCUUACCGAUGUAGAUUUAUAUUUCUUAUAUUCAGCUUUGGUGGAAGUCAGAUCAGGUAAGGGAAGGAAUGCAAACUGGCAUUCAUUUCUUUUAUUUCCAAACACUCUGAAAGGUGGAUUCUGCUCAUUUCAGCUGCGCUAAUGAUUCAGUUUGUUAAUUUCUUCUAAGAAGUUAAUGAGCAGAAGUUUCUCAGCCUCCUUUGCCACAGAUGACUACAUUCUGCCAAUGACAUGAGGGCUGAAGUGUGGGGUGUCCACUGAAAGGAAUUGAGAGGGAAAGAAUCUACUUGAAGAACCAUCCUUCCCCCAUUUCUUCCUGCUAGGAAGCAAAGGAAUCUAGGCUUCAGAGUCAUCAUAAGGGACAAAGAAGAUGACUACGAAGUUGUCUUGUAAUGAGGAAAUCUGAACACAAAAUUUUCCGUAAGUGUUCUUUGGCUGUGCGCCACAAGCGUUUGGAGAUGAGUAAAUCCAGUUCAAUCCACUUCAUUUAUGGACUUGGAAAUGGAGGCACCAAGAGGUGUAUGCGGUGCCCAAGUUCCACAGCAAUGCAGAGAGAAGAACGCCAUGCUGUUAUAAUUCAGCCAUGCCAUAUUUAAUUUCUACAACAAGUGGUGUGGCCAACUGACCCUCUUCUCUGUAACAAAAGCUAGAGACUUCAUCUGACCUGGAAACACCUCCUGCCAAUAAAGUAGGAAUACUUGAUUCUACCUGCCGCACAGGGACCCAUUUCAAAGGAAAUUUUUGACCCAGCUGUCAUUCACGCUUAAUUUAUAUGCUAGAAAGACCCUUAACCAGAUGCCACGUAUUUCUUGUUGAAGUGAUUCAUCAUCUUCCAGAAGUAAUACAAUCAUCUCUCGUGUGGGAAAAGAGAAAGAAAGUGAUGAACUCCAUCUAAGUUCAAUUGGACCUAAGAUCAACCCAGAGAUGACCCUGAUAUCCAGAGAAGCAUGAUCUUCAACCUUCAAGAAAUUCUGGAGUUAGUGAAGGAAUGAAGGCUCAUAUAACUUGGUAACUUCUCCACAGUGAAAAUUUUAUGAAGUACUAUCUGAAAAUGCUGAUGUAGAAAGAUUAACUAAUCAAGAUCAUGCAGCUCUACUUGAAUUACUAGAAAGGAACCAGGAGUGGUCGUGUAAAAUACGUCUCUCAACUACCACACAAGCCCCUGAAAUCUCAUCUCACCUUCUGAGAACAAUGUGUAACAAAUUAAAGCUGGUUCAUGAAAUGUCACACAAUCUGGCAGCAAGAUUCUAAUUGAUGAAGAAGUGGCUAUUUUAAUGAUUCUUUAACAAGCAUAGAAAAAUUUCAAUUACUGAGAACCGUGACAAAAACUACCUGAAGGGAACAAAAUCAUUUCUAACGGUUUUCUUUAACCAACUCCCAGGUCUUGAUGGAAAAUUUCUGACCUAUUCACAUUGUUUUCCAUUUAGUUUGGUGGAGGGGAUAGGAAACUGACUUGUUCUAUGAAUACUGAAAUCAAAAUCAUGUUCAAAAUUAAGAAACAUAACUUAUGUAUUCGCUUGACCUUGAUCACCACUAACUCACACCCACUCUUCGCCUCUCAUGGAUUCAGUGAUCAGUCUUGGUCUCGGAAUUUUAAAUGUGUGAAUUUGGGUUACAUUGAUGCCCUGGCCACCUGUGUGUCUCCAUGACAGGA
Molecule: long non-coding RNA, 1768 nt
Organism: Sciurus carolinensis (gray squirrel)
Lineage: Eukaryota; Metazoa; Chordata; Mammalia; Rodentia; Sciuridae
Exons: 7
Source: RefSeq, a predicted model, not a curated record